Molecule: ribosomal RNA, 253 nt
Filed under: uncultured bacterium
Lineage: Bacteria
Description: partial 16S ribosomal RNA
Rfam family: Bacterial small subunit ribosomal RNA
Source: RNAcentral
UACAGAGGGUGCAAGCGUUGUUCGGAAUUACUGGGCGUAAAGCGUGCGUAGACGGUUACAUAAGUCGGGUGUGAAAGCCCCGGGCUCAACCUGGGAAUUGCAUUCGAGACUGCGUAGCUAGGGUGCGGAAGAGGGAAGCGGAAUUUCCGGUGUAGCGGUGAAAUGCGUAGAUAUCGGAAGGAACACCAGUGGCGAAAGCGGCUUCCUGGUCCAGCACCGACGUUCAGGCACGAAAGCGUGGGGAGCAAACAGG